AGAGUUUGAUUCUGGCUCAGGAUGAACGCUGGCGGCGUGCUUAACACAUGCAAGUCGAACGAAGCAACUAGUCUUGCUUGCAAGAGAGUUGACUAGUGGCGGACGGGUGAGUAACGCGUGGGUAACCUGCCUCAGUACAGGGGGGAUAACAGUUGGAAACGACUGCUAAGACCGCAUAACCCGCUAGUGUCGCAUGACACGGACGGAAAAUAUUUAUAGGUAUGAGAUGGGCCCGCGUCUGAUUAGCUAGUUGGUAAGGUAACGGCUUACCAAGGCGACGAUCAGUAGCCGACUUGAGAGAGUGAUCGGCCACAUUGGGACUGAGACACGGCCCAAACUCCUACGGGAGGCAGCAGUGGGGAAUAUUGGACAAUGGGGGGAAACCCUGAUCCAGCCGACGCCGCGUGAGUGAAGAAGUAUUUCGGUAUGUAAAGCUCUAUCAGCAGGGAAGAUAAUGACAGUACCUGACUAAGAAGCCCCGGCUAACUACGUGCCAGCCGCCGC
This 504-nucleotide ribosomal RNA is filed under the name uncultured bacterium. RNAcentral's name for it is "bacterial SSU rRNA". It matches the Rfam family "Bacterial small subunit ribosomal RNA", at positions 8 to 518 of the family's 1533-position model. The record is from RNAcentral.